AUUGAACGCUGGCGGCAUGCUGUACACAUGCAAGUCGAACGGUAACAGGGUGCUUGCACCGCUGACGAGUGGCGAACGGGUGAGUAAUGCGUCGGAACGUGCCGAGUAGUGGGGGAUAACGCAGCGAAAGUUGUGCUAAUACCGCAUACGUACUGAGGUAGAAAGUGGGGGACCUUCGGGCCUCACGCUAUUCGAGCGGCCGACGUCUGAUUAGCUAGUAGGUGAGGUAAAGGCUCACCUAGGCGACGAUCAGUAGCGGGUCUGAGAGGAUGAUCCGCCCAACUGGGACUGAGAACCGGCACAGGCUCCUCCGGGAGGCAGAAGUGGGGAAUUUUGGACAAUGGGCGAAAGCCUGAUCCAGCCAUUCCGCGUGUCUGAAGAAGGCCUUCGGGUUGUAAAGGACUUUUGUCGGGGAGGAAAUCCCCAGCGUUAAUACCGCUGGGGGAUGACAGUACCUGAAGAAUAAGCACCGGCUAACUACGUGCCAGCCGCCGCCGUAA
RNAcentral lists this ribosomal RNA (500 nucleotides) under uncultured bacterium. RNAcentral describes it as "partial 16S ribosomal RNA". It matches the Rfam family "Bacterial small subunit ribosomal RNA", at positions 30 to 523 of the family's 1533-position model. The record is from RNAcentral.